CAUGUUGUGUUUUUGUGUC
Molecule: microRNA, 19 nt
Filed under: Corchorus olitorius
Lineage: Eukaryota; Viridiplantae; Streptophyta; Magnoliopsida; Malvales; Malvaceae
Description: cin-miR-4133-
Source: RNAcentral